CUAGGUACAACACUUCUAAUAAGACCAUCUAUAGUCGGUUAAGUAUUCAGUAUUUGACAAGCUUUUUACAGCCAAACCCUAGAAACUUCCCCAUUUGGCAAAGAUUUUCUUUAUAUUCUCUGCAGUAUUUGGUACUUUGAACACAACAGACCCACGGAUUGAUUCUUCUCCAGAACACUUGAUACAGGUUUACUAGACAAACAAAAGUUUGGUUUGUAGGGUGACACAUUCAGCUCCUUGACAUGGCAGGCCAGAGGAACAACUACGGUAAGAGAAUGCAAUCGGAAUCUGACUAUUCAAGGAGUGAUGGAAGUAAGAGAAGGACUCCAACUGAUGAAAAGGAAUCAAAUUCCAUUGGACCAGAGGAUACUGUUUUUCGUUAUUUAUGCCCCACAGGAAAAAUUGGAAGUAUCAUUGGAGUUGGUGGGGACAUUGCAAAACAACUGAGGACAGAAACUAAUUCAAAGAUUAGGAUUAGCGAGACCAUACCUGGCUGCGAGGAGCGUGUGGUAACUAUUUAUAGUGGAAGUGAAGAAACUAAUGUCUCUGAAGAUACUGGUGACCUGAUUUCACCUGCUCAAGAUGCUCUAUUCAGGGUGCAUGACAGAGUCCUUGCUGAAGACCUGCGUAUGGACGAAGAUCUGGAGGAUCAUCAGCAGAUUACUGUAAGGAUGCUUGUCCCAUCAGAUCAGAUAGGUUGUGUGAUAGGGAAAGGUGGACUAGUGAUCCAGAAUUUACGAAGUGAAACAGGUGCGCAGAUUCGGGUGUUAAGCAGUGAGCACUUGCCCCCUUGUGCUCUAAACUCGGAUGAGCUUCUCCAGAUAACCGGUGAAGGUGCAGUUGUUAAGAAAGCACUUUAUCAAGUAGCAGCACGCCUCCAUGAUAAUCCAUCACGGUCCCAACAUCAAUUGCUGUCGUCACCCAGCAUAUUUAGGUCUGGUGCUGGACUUGUUAAUCCUCAUGCUGGUACACAAGUCAUGGGUGUGACAUCAUUGAUGGGUCCUUACGCAAGUUACAAAAGUGAUGGUAGAAGUAGAUCUUCUUCUGUAAAAGAGUUUGCAGUUCGUUUGGUUUGUCCAACUGAGAAUGUAGGAGCUGUAAUUGGCAAAGGUGGAGGCAUUAUCAAACAGCUAAGACAGGAAUCAGGUGCAUCUAUUAAAGUCGAUAGUGCUGCAGCUGAGGGAGAUGAUUGCAUUAUAUUUGUAUCAGCAAAGGAGGCAUUUGAAGAUCAAUCCCCUACCAUCGAUGCAACAAUGCGUUUGCAACCGAGAAGUAGUGAGAAAACUGAAAAAGAAUCCGGUGAUGCUAUUCUUACGACUCGCCUGCUUGUACCUAGUUCACGAGUUGGAUGCCUUAUUGGUAAAGGUGGUUCCAUUAUCAAUGAGAUGCGGAAUUCCACAAGGGCAAGCAUCCGCGUUCUUUCGAAGGAAAAUCUUCCCAAAGUGGCAUCCGAAGAUGACGAGAUGGUGCAGAUUACUGGAGAUGCUAAUGUUGCUGCCAAUGCGUUAUUGCAAGUACUUAUGCGUUUGAGGGCCAAUACAUUUGAGAUGGAGGGAUCUUUUCCUGCAUUUUCUCCUGGCCUUUCUUAUGUCCCCAUGUCUGCAAGCAUGCCAGAUGGCUCAAGAUAUGGUAACCGUGAUAAUAGAUCACGUCGGCAUGGUUAUUCAUCUUAUUCAGGUGGACAUGAUUACAAUGAUUUGUCUCCAAGUGAUAAUUAUGGUGGCUCACAGGUUGGUGGUGGAGGUAAUUAUGCACCAUAUGGCGUUUAUUCCUCUGGGCGACCUAGCAGUGCAGGGGUUUCCAGCCAUAACCCUUCUGCCUAUGGAAAAUCUUAUGGAUACUAGGGUGUAGAGGGUUAUUAGCAGCCGGAGCUAUCAUCUCCGAUGCCUGUUCCAGCCCAUUGCCCGCCCCUUUUGACGAAGCCUCCAGCCUAAGAACAGAGGACCAGACGAACAAGAUAGAGAAACUUGUGGCCAUCCUUGCCCUAGUAUUUCUGUUUCUUAGGUGUUACCAGCAUAUAUAUUGUAAUGAAACAACGCCUCUUAGUCAUUGAAGGCCUUUUGUACCCAAAAUACCUCUGCUUUAGUGGUUUUGUGUAGCAGACUAAGCCAUGACAGUUUGAUGUGGUGGUUCUUUACUUUUUGUUUGUUUGUUUGUGUUCUUAAGAACUUUUGUGACGUUUCCUGUUGACCAGUUAUGCUACAGGAUUGAACCUUCUAUUGCUUUCUCUUGCAUCGAUUUUUUUUCAUGUUUUCUUGACAGCUUUCCAGUUAUUGAACAAAAGUUCAAGAAAGUCAGGUUUCUGCAUUUCAGGAGGAAAUGAUGGUGUUGGUCACUGCUUGAUGUGUGAUCAUUUUAUGUGAUCGAUUCUGCAGAGGAUUGAUAGAAAAUUUAGUUCUUAUGAUUAGAUUCCUACUAAGGUAAGUACUAUUCUUUCUUGCAAAUGUUAUUUCUUACACCGUGAGACAGAUAUAUUAUUUUGGUAGGAACAUACACAUCCUACUGUGAAAACAUUUCAGGAGGAAAGAAAGCUCUAUCACGUGUAUUGCCAACUGCUUUUUGCCCUUUGGAGGGCUUCAUGAAGCUUACAGUAAUGAAUUACUGGGGUUCCAUGUCUUACAUAAGUGUUAUUCCAUCAACUUUUAUUCAUUAUUUGAGCAUGGAUUCUCUUUGCUCCGCGCUGUUUGUUAGGAGUUCUGCACUGUACUUUCAGAGCCGGUCCAGUUUCUUAUGUUGUUUGUUGGACGGCUGAGUGUAAUUACCCUUUAGUGUGGCCUUUGAAUGGUCCAUUUAAAGCAUUCUUCUAAGUAAUUGAUUCGAUGUAAUAGAGUAAAAGCUCACACCUCUCUAGUUAUAAGGUACUAAAUCAUUACCACCACCAGGAGGUGGGUGGGAAUUUGGGAUCCCUCCAUGUUCAACCGGAGAUCGCAUUCGAGCCCUGAAAAUGGUGGCAUGAAGUUGAAUUAGUUGGGUCAGUGAGCUUCACAAGCCAUUGAAGCGACUUAUUCCUGGAAAUGUUAAAAAUAAAGAAAUUGUUAAGAGUUGUAUUGUCAUUUCUAUUUAGUCCCAACAGGAUUCAUAUGUAAAGAUACUGGUCUUGUUGAGUUGAUAAUGAGACUAUUUUCAUUGUUGA
Solanum tuberosum (potato) is the source of this 3133-nucleotide RNA transcript. It is a transcript of the gene named KH domain-containing protein At4g18375, with no coding region annotated. The record is from RefSeq and is a predicted model, not a curated record. The transcript has 10 exons. NCBI's taxonomy places the organism in Eukaryota, Viridiplantae, Streptophyta, Magnoliopsida, Solanales, Solanaceae.